Gossypium arboreum is the source of this 272-nucleotide long non-coding RNA. RefSeq lists it as uncharacterized. The transcript has 3 exons. NCBI's taxonomy places the organism in Eukaryota, Viridiplantae, Streptophyta, Magnoliopsida, Malvales, Malvaceae. The record is from RefSeq and is a predicted model, not a curated record.
AUAUUUUCUCAGCCAAAACGCCAUAGAAGAUCAAGAAUCCAAAGAAGGACGAGGAAAAGAAAAAGUUGCGGAAUAGUCCCUAAAUUUCAAUAUCUUCUACAAAUUAGCCGGAUUGACUUGAAGUGAAGUGGGUAGAUCGGAUCAACACAACAAAGCACACUAUCCAGAUCAAUUCCGGUAGCUUUUGUUUUAUGUUUGAAGAUUUAUAUGGCAUGUAUAGAGUUUAAAUGAAAUGAAGUAAAGAUGUUAUAAACUAGUUAACAACAUUUUGU